GCCAAACAAUUGAUUAUUCCUAAUAGACUCUACUAUUCAUGUCGUAAAAAGUUUUAUAAGGAUCCUAUUGUUGAAUUAAUAAACUUCAUGUAACAGACUGAUACAAUGAUUUUUUUAAUUCUUGACCUAACUUGUCACCCGUUUUUACCUAGAAGUAGUUAUAAUUUGUUCCACAAACUCGGUCGGUUCGGUUUUUAAGUCUUUGAUACAAUUGUUGUAGGUACUGUACCAACGAGAAGUAUACUUCAGAGUCUAUGAGGGGAUAAGUAAAGCAGCUAAGAAUAAACCGAAAAUACUCGUAUCAAAUUUGUUGUUAUCACGUACUUUCUUUGGCAAUGACUGUUCCUUGAGGAAAAUCUUUUAGUUAAGAAUUGAGAACUCCUGUUGACCUGAGGGAAGUUGAAAAGAAAAAACUCCAAGUUAUGCAAAGGAUAAAUAAGUAUCUUCCGUCCUUAAAGACGGCGUUAUUGCAGCACCUAUGUUAGUCCACCAACUACGUCGGUAUGGAAUGUGUUUAAUAAGUAUUGGGGAAGGGAUCGAUUAGACACUAGGCGGUGUAAUCGACUAGAGGAUUGGGUCGAGUGGAAGGUCGAAACCGCACGGAGGUAAUCUACGAACUGUAGGACUUGGUUUCCGGGAACGGUUCUAUCUAAGACUUCGAAGGCUUGAUAGAGGAACGUUAGGUAGAAUUACACAUAUACACGACGUAACUGUAGUAGGCGGUCAACCCGACGGGAAAACGUGCGGUCAUCGAGGUGGAAGCGGCCGGGGUGGGGGACGCUCUUUAUCACUGUACCAACGAAACCAAAGGAAUUUUAAUACGUUCGUUACGUUUCAAUUGCUUUAUACGGAAUUAUCUUAACUCUUAACACUUCAUUUUAGUCUUAUGUAGAGGUGAUUCUGUAGAAAUUACUUUUGUGUUAAAUAAUGUGUCUAGAGUAUACGAAGAAAUUAAGACCUAGUAGUUGAAAUUAGUUCUAAAGGCACUACUUUUAUUGUUGGUGAGAGUGUAGUGUGAAUUUAUAACAUUUAUAUCACAACGUUAGAUUUUGUGUUAUAACGUCGUCGUUAAAGCAACUGUAUCGAUAUGAUAACGAUCAAGCUGCCUUGUUUUCCUAUAUGUGGUCGCUCUUUGUACAUGGUUUCCUUGCCUUCAUGGAAGAAUGACAUCCAAUCUUAUUCAUCACGUCGUUCCGACCACGGAAAAUAUCGUGACCGGUUGGUAAAAAAUAAUCUCUAUCAUUCAUAGUUAACUUUCCACUAGAAUCUUAUAUCUCCGCUACGUAAGCGUCUAUGGAAGAUACCCUUCGGUUAGGUGCAUUUAACCUAUUUUAUAACAAGUAUGAAGUAAGACCUGAACUUAGUUCCUAUCCGACGAUGUCGAAAGAUCAUUUUUGUGUUACGUUGGGAUAAUUAUCAUCUGAGUUACUUCGUAGUUAGUAUAUUAAACAAUCUAAAAAACAUACUAUUAUUAACGACGUGCAGAACUGAUUAUGUUUAUGUGAACUUUAUGCAUUAUUGGAUCGUCUUUAGAUUCGGAUUUUUUGUAUGCUAAACGGGUGAAAACCAUACAAAGUCUGAAACUAAAUUCUUAAGAAUUUGUAUGGGUAAGUAGAGGUUUUAACUUAUUUUAACUGUUCGUAAGUAUCUAUGUACUUGGAAGCAAAACUGCCAGAACUACCAGAACACCUACGGACUUUAUGCUCGCCACCGACCUGCUUUACACAAGUGACGUCGUACCCUCGAUUAUUUAGUGAGGUCGUCUAAUCACGGUUUGGAUGGGGCGAAUAGGUAUCCGUGUACUCGUUCGUCUCGUAUCACUGUACUAUAAGUCUAUCACCAUCACCCGUCUCUCUUCUAGUCUGGCUGGGUGGGUUCGUUCGUUUCGGUCACUCGGUACCGCCUUCGUUUCCACGUGCCUCGCUUGGGUGUACCGUGGCCGCGGCCCCUGCGACACACGCCUCGAGGGGUAGUGGAAGAAGCUGCUGCACACGACCGAGAAGUGCCUGGGACAGCUCGCGGAGAAGAAGAUGGCGGUCCAACUGGGCCGGCGGCGCAAGGGCGGCGUGCGCGAGUGGGCGAAGGAGGGCGAGCGGCCGUAGGAGUCGGGGCGGCGGGCGACGAAGAGGAUGAGGUCGCCGGUGCUACGCGAGCUGGAGGUGGAGGUGACCUGCCUCCUCUCCCUGGGGCGACGACGGCAGCGUCAGUCCAGCGCGACGCAGGGCGCGGCGGCGGCGAAGAGCCGCCUCCUCUCCUUGGGGCGGCGGCUGCUUCCCGGCUCGGGGGACGCAGAGUGCGGCGGCGGUGGCGGCGACGGAGACGAGCUGCCUCCUCUCCUUGGGCCGGCGGCUGCUUCCGGCUCGGGUGACAUAAAGUGCGGCGGCGGCGACGAACUCCUUCCUCUCCCUGGGGACACCGCCGCUCCUCCUCUCUCCUCCCUCCCUACCCCUGCUACCUCCGCCCCGUCCUACU
This 2472-nucleotide ribosomal RNA is filed under the name Triticum aestivum (bread wheat). RNAcentral describes it as "partial small subunit ribosomal RNA". The record is from RNAcentral. Lineage: Eukaryota; Viridiplantae; Streptophyta; Magnoliopsida; Poales; Poaceae.